Long non-coding RNA from Pygocentrus nattereri (red-bellied piranha), 661 nucleotides. RefSeq lists it as uncharacterized. The record is from RefSeq and is a predicted model, not a curated record. Lineage: Eukaryota; Metazoa; Chordata; Actinopteri; Characiformes; Serrasalmidae. The transcript has 5 exons.
CGCGCAUGUGUGUCUGUGUCAUAACAAGCUCUUCAUGAGGUCUGACGGCUCUGAACUCUCCUGGCUGGUGCAUUGUGCGGAGCAAACACACUAAUUGAUCGCGGCGCAGAACAAUGGACUGACCACCCCAGAGUCCAGACCUCAACACCACUGAACGAGUUUAUCACUUGGGUGGUGAGAAGCCGAAAGUGCAACCAGCCCCUAAGACUGAACUUGAUUCUUUGAGAACUGAAAGUGAGUCUCCUGAGAAGAACGGAGGCCGUAAUGAAGUAUCUGCUGGACCUCCCCUGUAGCAGAGAUGGAAACACAGACAGACAGAGAGAAAAGUGAGAAAUGCAGAUAGAGAUAAAGCUCAGCCAGACAGACGGGCGCUGAGCUCCAGCUGUCUUUAUCACUCACUCGCAGCUCACCUCGGUAUUCUGGACACCCACGUUCCCUUGCUGCAGAGGAUCCCUCUGAAGAUUAUUUCCCAGAUGAGGAGAAGAUGACCUCCAACACGCUCAACUUACUUCCUAACUUCUCUGUCUGGAAAGUGUGGGUCAUUGUACACUACUGUGCAAAGGUCUUUUAAAGGAUUCUAUUGGAAGUGACCGAGGCGGCAGAACGAGAUGUGUGGAAAACGCUGGAGUGAUCCUUUAAAGAUGACACACCAAUAAAGCCC